This 397-nucleotide ribosomal RNA is filed under the name uncultured bacterium. RNAcentral's name for it is "partial 16S ribosomal RNA". It matches the Rfam family "Bacterial small subunit ribosomal RNA", at positions 523 to 918 of the family's 1533-position model. The record is from RNAcentral.
AUACGUAGGGGGCGAGCGUUGUCCGGAAUGAUUGGGCGUAAAGGGCGCGUAGGCGGCCCGGUAAGUCUGGAGUGAAAGUCCUGUUUUUAAGAUGGGAAUUGCUUUGGAUACUGUCGGGCUUGAGUGCAGGAGAGGUAAGUGGAAUUCCCAGUGUAGCGGUGAAAUGCGUAGAGGUUGGGAGGAACACCAGUGGCGAAGGCGACUUACUGGACUGUAACUGACGCUGAGGCGCGAAAGUGUGGGGAGCAAACAGGAUUAGAUACCCUGGUAGUCCACACUGUAAACGAUGAAUGCUAGGUGUAGGGGGUAUCGACCCCUUCUGUGCCGCAGUCAACACAAUAAGCAUUCCGCCUGGGGAGUACGGCCGCAAGGUUGAAACUCAAAUGAAUUGACGGGG